This 74-nucleotide transfer RNA is filed under the name Nanobdellota archaeon. RNAcentral's name for it is "tRNA-Thr". It matches the Rfam family "tRNA". Rfam says of the family: Transfer RNA (tRNA) molecules are approximately 80 nucleotides in length. Their secondary structure includes four short double-helical elements and three loops (D, anti-codon, and T loops). The record is from RNAcentral. Lineage: Archaea; Nanobdellati; Nanobdellota.
GCCCCAGUGGCUUAGCCUGGUAGAGCACUUCCUUGGUAAGGAAGAGGUCGUGAGUUCAAAUCUCACUUGGGGCU